UUGCUCUGUGGGAUCAGUGGCGAACGGGUGAGUAACACGUGAGCAACCUGCCCCUGACUCUGGGAUAAGCGCUGGAAACGGCGUCUAAUACUGGAUAUGUGACGUGAUCGCAUGGUCUGCGUCUGGAAAGAAUUUCGGUUGGGGAUGGGCUCGCGGCCUAUCAGCUUGUUGGUGAGGUAAUGGCUCACCAAGGCGUCGACGGGUAGCCGGCCUGAGAGGGUGACCGGCCACACUGGGACUGAGACACGGCCCAGACUCCUACGGGAGGCAGCAGUGGGGAAUAUUGCACAAUGGGCGCAAGCCUGAUGCAGCAACGCCGCGUGAGGGAUGACGGCCUUCGGGUUGUAAACCUCUUUUAGCAGGGAAGAAGCGAAAGUGACGGUACCUGCAGAAAAAGCGCCGGCUAACUACGUGCCAGCAGCCGCGGUAAUACGUAGGGCGCAAGCGUUAUCCGGAAUUAUUGGGCGUAAAGAGCUCGUAGGCGGUUUGUCGCGUCUGCUGUGAAAUCCGGAGGCUCAACCUCCGGCCUGCAGUGGGUACCGGCAGACUAUAGUGCGGG
This 559-nucleotide ribosomal RNA is filed under the name Microbacterium sp. LL5. RNAcentral's name for it is "bacterial SSU rRNA". It matches the Rfam family "Bacterial small subunit ribosomal RNA", at positions 79 to 652 of the family's 1533-position model. The record is from RNAcentral. Lineage: Bacteria; Bacillati; Actinomycetota; Actinomycetes; Micrococcales; Microbacteriaceae.